This 752-nucleotide ribosomal RNA is filed under the name uncultured Methanoculleus sp. RNAcentral describes it as "bacterial SSU rRNA". It matches the Rfam family "Archaeal small subunit ribosomal RNA", at positions 102 to 859 of the family's 1478-position model. The record is from RNAcentral. Lineage: Archaea; Methanobacteriati; Methanobacteriota; Methanomicrobia; Methanomicrobiales; Methanomicrobiaceae.
GGAUAACCUGCCCUAAGGAAGGGGAUAACCCCGGGAAACUGGGGAUAAUACCCUAUAGGUUACAGAUGCUGGAAUGCUCUGUAACCGAAAGCUCCGGCGCCUUAGGAUGGAUCUGCGGCCGAUUAGGUUGUUGUCGGGGUAACGGCCCAACAAGCCAGUAAUCGGUACGGGUUGUGGGAGCAAGAGCCCGGAGUUGGAUUCUGAGACACGAAUCCAGGCCCUACGGGGCGCAGCAGGCGCGAAAACUUUACAAUGCGGGCAACCGUGAUAAGGGAACCUCGAGUGCCUGUAUAUGCAGGCUGUCUGGGUGUCUAAAACACACCUAAAGAAAGGGCCGGGCAAGACCGGUGCCAGCCGCCGCGGUAAUACCGGCGGCUCGAGUGGUGGCCACUUUUAUUGGGCUUAAAGCGUUCGUAGCUGGGUUAUUAAGUCCCUUGGGAAAUCCGACGGCUUAACCGUCGGGCGUCUAAGGGAUACUGGUAAUCUUGGAACCGGGAGAGGUGAGGGGUACUUCGGGGGUAGGAGUGAAAUCCUGUAAUCCUCGAGGGACCACCUGUGGCGAAGGCGCCUCACCAGAACGGCUUCGACAGUGAGGGACGAAAGCUGGGGGAGCAAACCGGAUUAGAUACCCGGGUAGUCCCAGCCGUAAACGAUGUGCGUUAGGUGUAUCGGUGACCACGAGUCACCGAGGUGCCGAAGGGAAACCGUGAAACGUACCGCCUGGGAAGUACGGUCGCAAGGCUGAAACUUAA